Rhincodon typus (whale shark) is the source of this 1257-nucleotide long non-coding RNA. RefSeq lists it as uncharacterized. NCBI's taxonomy places the organism in Eukaryota, Metazoa, Chordata, Chondrichthyes, Orectolobiformes, Rhincodontidae. The transcript is spliced from 6 exons. The record is from RefSeq and is a predicted model, not a curated record.
GCACGGCAUUGCUUAUCACUGCGCAGGCUCAGUAUGUUCCCGCGGGUCCACAGUCUGGAACAUGUGUAGUCGGAGCGAUCAUGAGAAGUAGUUGCUCUUUUCUUCGGCUCCACAAAAGCAUGUUAGAAGAGGAUUUGCAGAUUGGAAACUCAAACCAAAUGAUACACCAAGAUCCAAACCAUUCAACAAUUUGAUAACUGGAUAUAAAUUGAGAGACAGAGCAGCCAGUCCAAAAGCUUCCAAAGUCGCUCUGCUCUUCCGUGACAUUCUUGAACUGCUGCAGUCCAUCUGCUGAUGGUCUUCCCAGAUUGCUGUUCGGUGGACCCAACACCGAUCCCUGCGGAACACCACUGGUCACCGCUGAACACCAGGCCUUCAGUCCGAAAAACAACCCUCCACUUCUACAGCCUGUCUGCUGACGUUAAGCAAAUUUUGUAUCCAGUUGGCAAGCUCACCCUGGAUCCCAUCAUGUGGGCGUCACUGGCUCAGCCAGAAUUUAUUGCCUGUUCGUGAUUGCCCAGACGUUGUCAAGAGUCAACUGCAGUGCUGUGGGGCUGGAGUCACACAUAGGCCAGACCAGGGAAUUGGAAAGGGAGAGUUUACACACAGGCAGCUCAAGUUAAACAUUGGAUUAAAAACUGCCUGGAACACUCUAUUCUCAGGAGCUUUGAACAUGGAAGGAAAAAACAUCGUUUACAGUGAAGAGAAACCAUACAUGUGGUCUGUGUGGACAAGCCUUCAGUCAAUCGUCUGGCCUGUCGAUACAUAAAUGCAGUCAAAACAGGGUGACAUCAAUGAAAUCAAGCAGCACUUGCUUUGUAAUAUCAUGGUCAUGGAUCUCAGUUUGAGUCAAACAAGGGCCUCUCGGCUCCUGAUCUCCUUACAUUUUUGAUGCAAACGUGCACCAAACAGCUAAAUUCCAAAUAUGAGAAAUGAAUCCACUAUCUUAAGGCUCCAUUUGACGGAGCAUUGUGUCAAGGGAUCAUAGCAAAGCUAAAGUCAAUGGGAAUCGGAGAAUGUUAUUCUCCCUUUGAUAGCCGGUUUUUGAAAAGAUUGCGUCUUCAGACUUGAGUAAAUCGAAGCAAGGUGAAUUCAUUCAAACUUUUGCCACAUACAUGCAGAAGCAGUCUCCAAGUCGAGCUGGAGACAUUCAACCGUUUACAGCUCAAAACAGCAUAUUAAGACAUUUACAUGUCAGAAUGGUUACAUGUAACAUUGCUAUAAAAUAAAUUAUAUGUCAAUCAUUAACCUCAAAAA